Molecule: microRNA precursor, 182 nt
Filed under: Oryza brachyantha (malo sina)
Lineage: Eukaryota; Viridiplantae; Streptophyta; Magnoliopsida; Poales; Poaceae
Description: MIR812 microRNA precursor family
Rfam family: MIR812 microRNA precursor family
Source: Rfam by way of RNAcentral
AAUAAGGUCACUUUUUAGUUUUUAGAUACAAUGUUUUGACUCUUUGUUUUAUUUGAAUUUUUUUACAAUUAUUGUUACUGGAUAAUAAAAUAUAAAUAGUAUUUUAUGCGUGACUAAUUUUUUUAAGUUUUUUUGCAAAUUUUUCAAAUAAGACGAAUGAUUAAAGCAUUGGACAUAAAAUC